RNAcentral lists this ribosomal RNA (433 nucleotides) under uncultured bacterium. RNAcentral's name for it is "partial 16S ribosomal RNA". It matches the Rfam family "Bacterial small subunit ribosomal RNA", at positions 29 to 507 of the family's 1533-position model. The record is from RNAcentral.
AACGAACGCUGGCGGCAUGCCUAACACAUGCAAGUCGAACGAGACCUUCGGGUCUAGUGGCGCACGGGUGCGUAACGCGUGGGAACCUGCCCUUAGGUUCGGAAUAACUCCCCGAAAGGGGUGCUAAUACCGGAUAAUGUCUUCGGACCAAAGAUUUAUCGCCUUUGGAUGGGCCCGCGUUGGAUUAGCUAGUUGGUAGGGUAAAAGCCUACCAAGGCGACGAUCCAUAGCUGGUCUGAGAGGAUGAUCAGCCACACUGGGACUGAGACACGGCCCAGACUCCUACGGGAGGGAGCAGUGGGGAAUAUUGGACAAUGGGCGAAAGCCUGAUCCAGCAAUGCCGCGUGAGUGAUGAAGGCCUUAGGGUUGUAAAGCUCUUUUACCCGGGAUGAUAAUGACGGUACCGGGAGAAUAAGCUCCGGCUAACUCCGUG